RNAcentral lists this transfer RNA (77 nucleotides) under Prosthecobacter vanneervenii. RNAcentral's name for it is "tRNA-Asp". It matches the Rfam family "tRNA". Rfam says of the family: Transfer RNA (tRNA) molecules are approximately 80 nucleotides in length. Their secondary structure includes four short double-helical elements and three loops (D, anti-codon, and T loops). The record is from RNAcentral. RNAcentral also lists the same sequence under 7 other names. Lineage: Bacteria; Pseudomonadati; Verrucomicrobiota; Verrucomicrobiia; Verrucomicrobiales; Verrucomicrobiaceae.
GGAGCGGUAGUUCAGUUGGUUAGAACGCCAGCCUGUCACGUUGGAGGUCGCGGGUUCGAGCCCCGUCCGCUCCGCCA